This 145-nucleotide non-coding RNA is filed under the name unclassified sequences. RNAcentral's name for it is "RT-14 RNA". It matches the Rfam family "RT-14 RNA". Rfam says of the family: Cloacimonetes, Firmicutes, Proteobacteria. The record is from Rfam by way of RNAcentral.
CUCUAAUAUUAUUCUCGAUUAUAUAUUUUACGGAAUAUAUACAAUGAAGUAUUAGAUAUUAAAGAGAUUUAUUCCUUCCUAUAUAUAGGUAAAUAUGUAUCAGCAAAAUAUUUUAUGGUAGGAAUAACGAAGUUCAGUAUUUUGC